CAAAGUCUCUUUCUACCCUACUUUCUUCUUUUUUUUAACAAGACGAAAAUUUUGUAAAACUUUGUAAUCAAAAUUCACAUUUUGCCUGAUUGCAUCUCUCCAUGGCUGCAACUAUUCAAGAAAACGCAUGAUAAUUUCCCAAAACAAAAUUGCAACAGCUGAUUAAUUACCCAAAACAUUGCCGAACGCUGUAAAAAUAAAAAAAAUAAAAGCGGCUGUCAUGCGCGUAGAGAACUUAAAAAUAAAACUUUGCGAAUGAAGGUACAAAGCAAACUAAAAACGGAGCGGUAGACAAAAGUUGAUAAAGGUAAAGAGUGUUGUGGCAAAAAAAAUUUCGAGCAAAUUCUAUUCCUUGCUGUGCGAUUAAAAGUUUAGAAAAAUAAUUGCAAAUACAAGCAAAAUAAAAAAAUACCUAUUCUCAACGGAGUUGGUGUACGGACACAAUCGUGGGUGGUAAAAUUGUAGAGAAAUUACCGGAUUUGCUUCGUAGUUCUUUGGACCUUCAUUUGGUCGUGUUCAGUUGAUAUUGAUUUGACUCUAUUAUAUUGUGGACUGCAGCAUUGCUUAAGAAGUGCAAAAAAUGGAUAUCUUGCGUAAAAUGUUUAAAAUGAACGAGAAGGAGUCAAACUCGAACGGUUCGGACCGUAAAGAUGAAGAAAGUGCAAAGGACGAGUUUCGUAAGCCCCAGUGGUUUGAGGAAGCCGAAACAGAUGAUGAACUUUUCGAUGAUAACCGCAAGUUUGCUUUUCAAAUUUUUACAAAUCCUGUGGAGUUGCAGAAACACUUUGAACGUCAAAUGCAGCAAAUCUUGGAGGCAGUGAGUGAAUUUGAAGAGGGUGAUGUUAAAAUUGACAAAGAUCUAAAGGAGGACUUUUUAAAACCUGGGUUUGAAAAUAUUGACAUUUUGAAAGAAUUUGAGAAAAAGAAAGGUGAAAUUAUGGACACUGACUUAGAUGGCGAAAUUUACGCCGAUCAGCUGCAUUCUUUAAUGCAACGGUUGUCGCCUAAUGAAGAAUUACCAAAUAUUUUGCCGCGUAAUGAUAACAAGGCGAUUCGCAAUCCUAUUCGAAAUAAAAAAUUGAGUGACGAGGACAAAAUUUUGGGUAAAAUACAUGGAACUCUUGAGAGUGAGGACGCAAUUCCGAAGCAACCACGAGUGCCUCGCUCGCGCCCUGAUAUGAUGACGCCAAUGACACCAAUGAUUCCACGGGGUCCAACACCAUUUGGCGGUGGUGUAUUUGAAGGGACUUAUCAGGGGCCAAAAAUGUUUAGUCAGAGCAUAAUGUCUAAGACUAUUCGCAAACCGGAUGGAAGUUAUGAGACUACCAAAAUUACUAAGGACUCACAAGGUAACACAACAACAACUGUAACACGUACCGUCGAUGGAAAAUCGGAAACAAUAACCACAUACGAUAAUGCUGUAGGAAACACCGUAAUCAAACAAAAGGAGGGCGGCAUAGCCGAAAAAUAUUCUGAUCGCAAUAUUGCCGUAACAAAAGAAGGUUACGCCGUACCAAGGAACCUCUGGUGACCAGUGGUGCUUAUCGGCCGAAACCUUGUUGGCAACUUAUUACCCGUCUAUAUUCAAAUUCAGAUAUACUAUGUAUUAGUAACUAGAUCUUUAAGUGUUUGGUGUUUUAGAUGAAAUUCAAUUGAGGCUACAGAUAGCAGAUAGCAUUGCAAAGGCAGCAGCAGCAGCAACUACAACAGCAACAACAACAUCACGGAUGACCGCAGCAUCCACAGCCAUGACAGAAACAUAUACAGAAACAGUAUGGUAGACGUACAUAGAUGAAUAGACGAAUUGUAAAAUUUAUUCAUCUUUUGAAUUGGAUUUUGAAAUGAACGAUUUGCAUAGAAAGCUCAUUUUUACGUGUGCUACACAUCUUAAUAAUCGUCUACAACCCUCUCAAAUGUGCAAUUCUAUACUGGUUCUGUACUGUUUUCAUGGAAUUUAUUUCGUAUAUCUUAUUAUUUUAAUUUGAUUACGAACAUCUUCAUGGAGCGUAAACAAACAGAACUGUGUGAUUUAUUUCGUAGACGCUCAUAUCAAAGCAUGAAACCAAUUAAUCCAACAAUCAAAAGAACACACUAGGAUUAUUUGGUAAAUGCCAGCCAGCGUUCGCGUCAGCGUCAGCAAGGGCGAAAAGAAUUGUUUAUUUGUUGAAACGUUUUUACGUUUAACACACAAACGAGAUGCCCGGCCAAAGAACCGUCAACAGCGAAGGUGUCCAAGAAGGAUAGCUAGUUAGUUGGAUAGCCAUUUACCGAAAUGUUUUAAUAAGAAAGAAAAUGAAGAAUGUAUUAGCACGAUUUAAUUCGUGAUAUGGAUUUUUCUAUGUGUGGCUGCUUUCAAUUGAGAGAAUAUUUGAACGCGAUGAUAUCCCAAUAAUUGCUUUAAUCAUAUAUGAUUACAUUCAAUAUUGAGUAUGUGUGUGAUAAAGUAAUAUUUGGUUACUGCAGUACUGAGUUUCAAUGAAAUCCAUCUAAAGUGCAAGAACAAAGAAAUUUUUGAAAAAUACAUCUACAUGCAUAUAUACAUACUUAUACUCCAUAUAUACAAAUAUGUUAAAAAUAAGUUAAUAUUCAUUUUCAUUAUCGCAUUAACACUUUUAACAUUAGUUAUUAAAAUGUCUUUACUUAUUUCUAUGAACUUACAUGCAUACAUACCUAUUGGCAAAUAUAAAGACUACUAUUAUUUCAUAGUAAUUUGAAACUUAAAUAAAUCCUAGUUUUGAAAUUCUUGACAAAAUUUAAAUAUUUUAAUAUAUGAGUGCAUAAUUUAAACCUAAGUUCGCUACGUUAGAACAUUAUUUCAGUUGAAAAUUACUUUUUUUUAUGAUAGCAUAAUAGAUGAUAUUAAAAUAUAUUAGUUUAAGAAUUGUUUUUUUUUUUUAAAGAGUACAUAUAUUGGUUCGUUAAUAAAUAAUCAUUCAGUGUUCUAUAUUAUUACCAAUGCAAAUAUAAUUUAGAAAUAUUUGUAUUUACAUACUUAUAAUAAAUAAAUACUACAUACAUACACUUUCAUCUACUUACGUGUGCAAUUAAAA
RNAcentral lists this unclassified non-coding RNA (3050 nucleotides) under Ceratitis capitata (Mediterranean fruit fly). RNAcentral describes it as "misc RNA LOC101451218". The record is from RNAcentral. Lineage: Eukaryota; Metazoa; Arthropoda; Insecta; Diptera; Tephritidae.